Molecule: transfer RNA, 18 nt
Filed under: Phoca largha (spotted seal)
Lineage: Eukaryota; Metazoa; Chordata; Mammalia; Carnivora; Phocidae
Description: partial tRNA-Thr
Source: RNAcentral
ACAACUCUCCCUAAGACU